Molecule: ribosomal RNA, 497 nt
Filed under: uncultured bacterium
Lineage: Bacteria
Description: partial 16S ribosomal RNA
Rfam family: Bacterial small subunit ribosomal RNA
Source: RNAcentral
GAUGAACGCUGGCGGCGUGCCUAAUACAUGCAAGUCGAGCGAACAGACGAGGAGCUUGCUCCUCUGACGUUAGCGGCGGACGGGUGAGUAACACGUGGAUAACCUACCUAUAAGACUGGGAUAACUUCGGGAAACCGGAGCUAAUACCGGAUAAUAUAUUGAACCGCAUGGUUCAAUAGUGAAAGACGGUUUUGCUGUCACUUAUAGAUGGAUCCGCGCCGCAUUAGAUAGUUGGUAAGGUAACGGCUUACCAAGGCAACGAUGCGUAGCCGACCUGAGAGGGUGAUCGGCCACACUGGAACUGAGACACGGUCCAGACUCCUACGGGAGGCAGCAGUAGGGAAUCUUCCGCAAUGGGCGAAAGCAUGACGGAGCAACGCCGCGUGAGUGAUGAAGGUCUUCGGAUCGUAAAACUCUGUUAUUAGGGAAGAACAAAUGUGUAAGUAACUAUGCACGUCUUGACGGUACCUAAUCAGAAAGCCACGGCUAACUACGUG